Non-coding RNA from Octodon degus (degu), 556 nucleotides. Lineage: Eukaryota; Metazoa; Chordata; Mammalia; Rodentia; Octodontidae. The record is from the annotation of a RefSeq genome assembly.
CCUUACAGAGCACGGAGCUCUCACAGAAAAGCAGUGUGUGAUCUGGAAGAUGAGACUGCUGGGUCUUCUCCUGUGCCUGGUGACAUGUCCCCAGGGUGUCCUGUCCCAGGUGCAGCUGCAGGAGUCCGGACCUGGCCUGGUGAAGCCCUCACAGACGCUGUCCCUCACCUGCUCCGUCUCUGGUUUCUCCAUCACAACCAGUGGUUAUGCAUGGUACUGGAUCCGUCAGCGCCCAGGAAAGAGCCUGGAGUGGAUGGGGUACAUAAACUCCGUUGGUAACACUGGCUACGACCCGUCCGUCAAGAACCGCAUCUCCAUCUCCAGAGACACAGCCAAGAACCAGUUCUUCCUGCAGCUGAGCUCUCUCACUGCGGAAGACACAGCCAUGUAUUACUGUGCAAGAUACACAGUGAUCUCAUACAAGUUUAAGUCAAAACAUAAACCGUGCUGCAAGGAAACUCAGGACCAGCAGGGGGCGAUCAGCCAAACUGCUCUAUUUAACCGAGUUCACCAGCCUGUGGUAAAAACCUGGAGAGUUUCAUGUCAAGGUAAUUAG